UACGUAGGGUGCAAGCGUUAAUCGGAAUUACUGGGCGUAAAGCGUGCGCAGGCGGCUAUGCAAGACAGAUGUGAAAUCCCCGGGCUCAACCUGGGAACUGCAUUUGUGACUGCAUGGCUAGAGUACGGUAGAGGGGGAUGGAAUUCCGCGUGUAGCAGUGAAAUGCGUAGAUAUGCGGAGGAACACCGAUGGCGAAGGCAAUCCCCUGGACCUUUACUGACGCUCAUGCACGAAAGCGUGGGGAGCAAACAGG
RNAcentral lists this ribosomal RNA (253 nucleotides) under uncultured bacterium. RNAcentral describes it as "partial 16S ribosomal RNA". It matches the Rfam family "Bacterial small subunit ribosomal RNA", at positions 524 to 776 of the family's 1533-position model. The record is from RNAcentral.